UACGUAGGUGGCAAGCGUUGUCCGGAUUUAUUGGGUUUAAAGGGUGCGUAGGCGGUUCCUUAAGUCAGUUGUGAAAUACGGCAGCUUAACUGUCGAGGUGCAAUUGAUACUGGGGAACUAGAGUACUGAUGAGGUAUGCGGAAUGGACGGUGUAGCGGUGAAAUGCUUAGAUAUCGUCCAGAACACCGAUAGCGAAGGCAGCAUACUAAGGAGUAACUGACGCUGAGGCACGAAAGUGUGGGGAUCAAACAGG
RNAcentral lists this ribosomal RNA (253 nucleotides) under uncultured bacterium. RNAcentral describes it as "partial 16S ribosomal RNA". It matches the Rfam family "Bacterial small subunit ribosomal RNA", at positions 524 to 776 of the family's 1533-position model. The record is from RNAcentral.